GGUGAUAUAGCUCAGUUGGUAGAGCAUCGGACUGAAAAUCCGUGAGUCGAUGGUUCGAGUCCAUUUAUCACCACAA
RNAcentral lists this transfer RNA (76 nucleotides) under Algoriphagus ratkowskyi. RNAcentral describes it as "tRNA-Phe". It matches the Rfam family "tRNA". Rfam says of the family: Transfer RNA (tRNA) molecules are approximately 80 nucleotides in length. Their secondary structure includes four short double-helical elements and three loops (D, anti-codon, and T loops). Further hydrogen bonds mediate the characteristic L-shaped molecular structure. tRNAs have two regions of fundamental functional importance: the anti-codon, which is responsible for specific mRNA codon recognition, and the 3' end, to which the tRNAs corresponding amino acid is attached (by aminoacyl-tRNA synthetases). tRNAs cope with the degeneracy of the genetic code in two manners: having more than one tRNA (with a specific anti-codon) for a particular amino acid; and 'wobble' base-pairing, i.e. permitting non-standard base-pairing at the 3rd anti-codon position. Lineage: Bacteria; Pseudomonadati; Bacteroidota; Cytophagia; Cytophagales; Cyclobacteriaceae. RNAcentral also lists the same sequence under 2 other names. The record is from RNAcentral.